This 446-nucleotide ribosomal RNA is filed under the name uncultured bacterium. RNAcentral describes it as "partial 16S ribosomal RNA". It matches the Rfam family "Bacterial small subunit ribosomal RNA", at positions 338 to 795 of the family's 1533-position model. The record is from RNAcentral.
CCUACGGGAGGCAGCAGUGGAGAAUAUUUCACAAUGGAGGCAAGCCUGAUCCAGCGACGCCGCGUGGAGGAAUGAGGCUCUACGGAUUGUAAACUCCUGUCAUGUGGGAGCAAAUUAAAAAGCUCGUAUCACACGAGGAAGAGCCGGCUAACUAUGUGCCACCAGCCGCGGUCAUACAGAGGUCUCAAGCGUUGUUCGGAAUGACUGGGCGUAAAGUGUGCGUAGGCGGUUUCGUAAGUCGUGUGUGAAAGGCGGGGGCUCAACCGGCGGACUGCACAUGAUACUGUGAGGCUAGAGUAAUGGAGGGGUAAGCGGAAUGCUCGGUGUAGCAGUGAAAUGCGUAGAUAUCGAGAGGAACACUCGUGGCGAAGGCGGGUUCCUGGACAGUAACUGACGCUGAGGCACGAAGGCGAGGGGAGCGAAAAGGAUUAGAUACCCGUGUAGUC